This is a long non-coding RNA of Xyrauchen texanus (razorback sucker), 394 nucleotides long. RefSeq lists it as uncharacterized. The record is from RefSeq and is a predicted model, not a curated record. Lineage: Eukaryota; Metazoa; Chordata; Actinopteri; Cypriniformes; Catostomidae. The transcript is spliced from 3 exons.
CAAUUCCGUGAUAUGUCGUCUUUGCAAAAUGGAGAUGGCCUUCCAUUCUAGCACCACGGCAAUGCACCAGCACCUGAAGAGGCGCCACCCGGGAGCAGCUGCAGAUGACAGAGCACCAUGUAUUCUAUAGUUGUUUUUACUGAAAAGAAUGAGACAGAGGUAAUACCAAGUGACUGGCUGAGCAUCGACAAAAAAAUUUCCUUUUGGCCCCCAUAUAACGCUACAAAAUGUAGAAAAGCGGUGGAAAAAAAUGAAACUCCUGAUGAAGAAUGGGACGAAUAUACAACUGAAUGGGUGGCUGAGUAUGAUUCCUAUGAAAAAGCCAGAAGAAAGCUGGUGAAAUUUUGUAAAGGCAACAGUUUGGAGUCUACAGAUGAGGACAGUGUACGGAAAA